ACGCCGGCGUCGGCGGGCGUAUUUCGCCUCACAGUAGGUCGCCGCGACCCGUUGCUUUUGGGGACGUCGAAGGCCCGGACGGAUUGGUACCCUACCGGCUGGGGAUGCGGCUUCGGCUUCUCCUCUUGUCCGGUGGGCGAAACCGCCGGUGUCCUGGCUGCCCUGCGACGGUCGUAGAGACGAGCCCUCCCCUUCGGGGGGGCGGCUCUCGCGGCGUGCAAAAGGUCGGUGAUCCACCCGACCCGUCUUGAAACACGGACCAAGGAGUCUAACAUGUGUGCGAGUCAGUGGGCGCACUAAACCCAGAGGCGUAAUGAAAGUGACACGGGUUCGGCUGUCGCCUCGUGUGGCAGCCGGACUCAGGGCCGAUCCCUCACCGGUUGCCCUCGCCUCUCUCCCGCGUCUCGGUAAGCCGGGUGAGCUAUUUUCCCCGGCCGCUGCUGCGGGGCUCGGGGGGAGGCGGGGUGCGAUGGUGUCCGUAAAAAAGAGCCUGCUGUUGCAGGGGGGCGCAGGCCCGGGACUUGCCAGGACGCCGCGAGACUGUCACUUUGCUGUGAGGCUCUCGGGCCGAUCAGCGGGUCAUGCGUGCAGUCGGCAAGUACCAUGAGCAGACAUGUUGGGACCCGAAAGAUGGUGAACUAUGCCUGGCCAGGAUGAAGCCAGAGGAAACUCUGGUGGAGGUCCGUAG
Molecule: ribosomal RNA, 688 nt
Filed under: Creaserinus crenastylus
Lineage: Eukaryota; Metazoa; Arthropoda; Malacostraca; Decapoda; Cambaridae
Description: partial 28S large subunit ribosomal RNA
Rfam family: Eukaryotic large subunit ribosomal RNA (bases 259-688)
Source: RNAcentral